UACGUAGGGACCAAGCGUUGUUCGGAUUUACUGGGCGUAAAGGGCGCGUAGGCGGCAAUUCAAGUCAGCUGUGAAAUCUCCGGGCUUAACUCGGAACGGUCAGCUGAUACUGCUUUGCUAGAGUGCAGAAGGGGCAAUCGGAAUUCCUGGUGUAGCGGUGAAAUGCGCAGAUAUCAGGAAGAACACCCGUGGCGAAGGCGGCUCUCUGGGACGGUACUGACGCUGAGACGCGAAAGCGUGGGGAGCGAACAGG
This 253-nucleotide ribosomal RNA is filed under the name uncultured bacterium. RNAcentral describes it as "partial 16S ribosomal RNA". It matches the Rfam family "Bacterial small subunit ribosomal RNA", at positions 524 to 776 of the family's 1533-position model. The record is from RNAcentral.